Camelus dromedarius (Arabian camel) is the source of this 242-nucleotide RNA transcript. RefSeq lists it as uncharacterized. The transcript has 3 exons. The record is from RefSeq and is a predicted model, not a curated record. NCBI's taxonomy places the organism in Eukaryota, Metazoa, Chordata, Mammalia, Artiodactyla, Camelidae.
GAGCCGGGUGCUCCUCGACCAGCUCCCGAGGAGGAACACGGCCUGGGGUCUGGGCCGCCGCUUGGCGUCGCUGAAGCUGCCGCCGCCAGCUCCCCCAGUGGUGACACCAUCUGUAACUGUGGCUCGGUAUCAGAACCAGGUUGCUGACGCAGGUUUGAAUAACCACCACCGAAGUCAAGAUACAGAACUCUUCAUCCCCAUGAAGGAACUCCCUGUGCUAUCUUUGUAUGUUAACCCCCCCC